This 253-nucleotide ribosomal RNA is filed under the name uncultured bacterium. RNAcentral's name for it is "partial 16S ribosomal RNA". It matches the Rfam family "Bacterial small subunit ribosomal RNA", at positions 524 to 776 of the family's 1533-position model. The record is from RNAcentral.
UACGGAGGGUGCGAGCGUUGUCCGGAAUCAUUGGGCGUAAAGGGUGCGUAGGCGGCCUGGUAAGUCUGGCGUGAAAGCCCAGGGCUCAGCCCUGGAAGGGCGCUAGAAACUGCGAGGCUGGAGUGCCGGAGGGGAGAGUGGAAUUCCUGGUGUAGCGGUGAAAUGCGUAGAUAUCAGGAGGAAUACCGGUGGCGAAAGCGACUCUCUGGACGGCAACUGACGCUGAGGCACGAAAGCGUGGGGAGCAAACAGG